Sorghum bicolor (sorghum) is the source of this 98-nucleotide microRNA precursor. It matches the Rfam family "mir-166 microRNA precursor family". From Rfam's summary of the family: This family represents the plant microRNA (miRNA) precursor mir-166. Animal miRNAs are transcribed as ~70nt precursors and subsequently processed by the Dicer enzyme to give a ~22nt product. The record is from Rfam. NCBI's taxonomy places the organism in Eukaryota, Viridiplantae, Streptophyta, Magnoliopsida, Poales, Poaceae.
GUUGAGGGGAAUGUCGUCUGGCGCGAGACCGGCCGGACAGUCGGCCGGCGGCGUCCUCUGGAUCGGACGGUCUCGGACCAGGCUUCAUUCCCCUCAAC